This 24-nucleotide non-coding RNA is filed under the name Cricetulus griseus (Chinese hamster). The record is from RNAcentral. Lineage: Eukaryota; Metazoa; Chordata; Mammalia; Rodentia; Cricetidae.
GCUAUGUGAGCAUGCUGCUGUAGG